RNAcentral lists this ribosomal RNA (879 nucleotides) under Agaricomycotina sp. RNAcentral's name for it is "partial large subunit ribosomal RNA". It matches the Rfam family "Eukaryotic large subunit ribosomal RNA", at positions 72 to 937 of the family's 3401-position model. The record is from RNAcentral. Lineage: Eukaryota; Fungi; Basidiomycota.
GGAUUCCCCUAGUAACUGCGAGUGAAGCGGGAAAAGCUCAAAUUUAAAAUCUGGCGGUCUUCGAUCGUCCGAGUUGUAGUCUGGAGAAGCGUCUUCCGCGCUGGACCGUGUACAAGUCUCUUGGAACAGAGCGUCGUAGAGGGUGAGAAUCCCGUCUUUGACACGGACUACCAGUGCUUUGUGAUGCGCUCUCAAAGAGUCGAGUUGUUUGGGAAUGCAGCUCAAAAUGGGUGGUAAAUUCCAUCUAAAGCUAAAUAUUGGCGAGAGACCGAUAGCGAACAAGUACCGUGAGGGAAAGAUGAAAAGCACUUUGGAAAGAGAGUUAAACAGUACGUGAAAUUGCUGAAAGGGAAACGAUUGAAGUCAGUCGCGUCGUCUAGAACUCAACCUGGCCUCGGCUCGGUGCAUUUUCUAGUUGACGGGCCAGCAUCAGUUUCGACCGUUGGAAAAAGGUCCUUGGAAUGUGGCACCUUCGGGUGUGUUAUAGCCUUGGGUCGUAUACGACGGUUGGGACUGAGGACCGCAGCACGCCUUUAUGGCCGGGGUUCGCCCACGUACGUGCUUAGGAUGCUGGCGUAAUGGCUUUAAACGACCCGUCUUGAAACACGGACCAAGGAGUCUAACAUGCCUGCGAGUGUUUGGGUGGUAAACCCGAGCGCGUAACGAAAGUGAAAGUUGGGAUCCCUGUCGUGGGGAGCACCGACGCCCACACCAGACCUUCUGUGACGGAUGUGCGGUUGAGCAUGUAUGUUGGGACCCGAAAGAUGGUGAACUAUGCCUGAAUAGGGUGAAGCCAGAGGAAACUCUGGUGGAGGCUCGUAGCGAUUCUGACGUGCAAAUCGAUCGUCAAAUUUGGGUAUAGGGGCGAAAGACUAAUCG